AACGAACGCUGGCGGCAGGCUUAACACAUGCAAGUCGAACGCCCCGCAAGGGGAGUGGCAGACGGGUGAGUAACGCGUGGGAACAUACCCUUUCCUGCGGAAUAGCUCCGGGAAACUGGAAUUAAUACCGCAUACGCCCUACGGGGGAAAGAUUUAUCGGGGAAGGAUUGGCCCGCGUUGGAUUAGCUAGUUGGUGGGGUAAAGGCCUACCAAGGCGACGAUCCAUAGCUGGUCUGAGAGGAUGAUCAGCCACAUUGGGACUGAGACACGGCCCAAACUCCUACGGGAGGCAGCAGUGGGGAAUAUUGGACAAUGGGCGCAAGCCUGAUCCAGCCAUGCCGCGUGAGUGAUGAAGGCCUUAGGGUUGUAAAGCUCUUUCACCGGAGAAGAUAAUGACGGUAUCCGGAGAAGAAGCCCCGGCUAACUUCGUGCCAGCAGCCGCGGUAAUACGAAGGGGGCUAGCGUUGUUCGGAAUUACUGGGCGUAAAGCGCACGUAGGCGGAUAUUUAAGUCAGGGGUGAAAUCCCAGAGCUCAACUCUGGAACUGC
Molecule: ribosomal RNA, 548 nt
Filed under: uncultured bacterium
Lineage: Bacteria
Description: bacterial SSU rRNA
Rfam family: Bacterial small subunit ribosomal RNA
Source: RNAcentral